GUUUGCAUAUCUGUCCUGCCUCUCUGCUCCCAGCCGUUAAGAGGCCAGUGUUGAUCAGUGGCUGUCCAGGCCUUUCAGAGCCACUGACACGCCGGCAGCACAAUCAUCAUGUCUCUGACUCUACUGCUGGCCACCCUGGGGCUCCUUGUUCAGGGUUCAUCAGGAGACAUCAUCCUGACUCAGUCUCCUGGAUCUCAGUCUGUUGUUCUGGGACAGACUGUCUCUAUCAGAUGUAAAACAAGUUCAGGUGUUGUUAGUGACCUCCACUGGUACCUUCAGAAACCUGGAGAAACUCCUAAACUCCUGAUAUAUAAAGAUGUAACCCGUUACUCUGGCGUUUCAGACCGUUUUACUGGAAGUAAAUCUAGUAACACUGACUUCACUCUGACCAUCAGUAGAGUUCAGGCUGAAGAUUCAGGAGUUUACUACUGUCAGCAGAGUGAGAGCCUCCCGUUCACACAGUGAUACAACGUCAUACAAAAACCUCCCUCAGC
Lates calcarifer (barramundi perch) is the source of this 494-nucleotide non-coding RNA. NCBI's taxonomy places the organism in Eukaryota, Metazoa, Chordata, Actinopteri, Centropomidae. The record is from the annotation of a RefSeq genome assembly.